GACAUAGCACACAUUCAUCUAUGCCCGGACGAUCACCUCGUGUCGGUGCCCACUAGAAUCGAAGAAGUGCAAGCCGAAGGGGGCAUUCCCUGGUGACCGUGAUGAAGAGCAGGACAUGCUGCCUACUGAAAUCGAACAUCUGCAAGUUCCUGCCACUGUAGUCCGAGUGGGAGGGGGAGUUACCAUAACGAGAUGAUAAUCGGCACGGCUGCGACAUUCGACACCUGCUACCAGGACUCCAUACACGAGGGCAAGCUCGAAGCGAAAAUAGAAUUAACUGUGGAUGAAUUGUCGAAUGUAGCUUGACGAUGUGGUUGAACAUGCUUUUGCAAUUUUUUUGACUUGAUUUAGGUGGUGAAGGAUAUAUAUUAAUUGCCUAGAUAUUUGUAGCCUUUUAAUUCAUUUCUGUAAUUUACAUAUCACCCAAGCUAAUUGGCAAGCGUGGUGACACUUUGACGCAUUCCUCACAUUUUGCAACUCCCGUGGUGAAUGUUGUGUCACUAUUUACCUUUGCUGACAUUGUUGUAGUGUUACAAACUGCAUAA
Molecule: long non-coding RNA, 545 nt
Organism: Olea europaea var. sylvestris
Lineage: Eukaryota; Viridiplantae; Streptophyta; Magnoliopsida; Lamiales; Oleaceae
Exons: 3
Source: RefSeq, a predicted model, not a curated record